RNAcentral lists this ribosomal RNA (848 nucleotides) under Mesonia algae. RNAcentral describes it as "bacterial SSU rRNA". It matches the Rfam family "Bacterial small subunit ribosomal RNA", at positions 24 to 868 of the family's 1533-position model. The record is from RNAcentral. Lineage: Bacteria; Pseudomonadati; Bacteroidota; Flavobacteriia; Flavobacteriales; Flavobacteriaceae.
UCAGGAUGAACGCUAGCGGCAGGCCUAACACAUGCAAGUCGAACGGUAACAGCAGAGCUUGCUCUGGCUGACGAGUGGCGCACGGGUGCGUAACGCGUAUACAAUCUGCCUAUUACUGGGGUAUAGCCCGAAGAAAUUUGGAUUAACCCCCCAUAGUAUUGAGAUAAGGCAUCUUAUUUCAAUUAAAACCACGGUGGUAAUAGAUGAGUAUGCGUCCUAUUAGUUUGUUGGUAAGGUAACGGCUUACCAAGACUUCGAUAGGUAGGGGUCCUGAGAGGGAGAUCCCCCACACUGGUACUGAGACACGGACCAGACUCCUACGGGAGGCAGCAGUGAGGAAUAUUGGACAAUGGAGGCAACUCUGAUCCAGCCAUGCCGCGUGCAGGAAGACUGCCCUAUGGGUUGUAAACUGCUUUUAUAGAGGAAGAAACCUCCCUUCGUGAAGGGAAUUGACGGUACUCUACGAAUAAGGAUCGGCUAACUCCGUGCCAGCAGCCGCGGUAAUACGGAGGAUCCAAGCGUUAUCCGGAAUCAUUGGGUUUAAAGGGUCCGUAGGCGGACUGAUAAGUCAGUGGUGAAAGUCUGCAGCUCAACUGUAGAAUUGCCAUUGAUACUGUUAGUCUUGAGUCAUUAUGAAGUGGUUAGAAUGAGUGGUGUAGCGGUGAAAUGCAUAGAUAUCACUCAGAAUACCGAUUGCGAAGGCAGAUCACUAAUAAUGUACUGACGCUGAUGGACGAAAGCGUAGGUAGCGAACAGGAUUAGAUACCCUGGUAGUCUACGCCGUAAACGAUGGUUACUAGCUGUUUGGUCGAUUGAGACUGAGUGGCUAAGCGAAAGUGAUAAGUAAC